RNAcentral lists this ribosomal RNA (600 nucleotides) under Lacticaseibacillus casei. RNAcentral describes it as "bacterial SSU rRNA". It matches the Rfam family "Bacterial small subunit ribosomal RNA", at positions 38 to 605 of the family's 1533-position model. The record is from RNAcentral. Lineage: Bacteria; Bacillati; Bacillota; Bacilli; Lactobacillales; Lactobacillaceae.
GGAGGGGGGUGCUAUACUGCAGUCGACGAGUUCUCGUUGAUGAUCGGUGCUUGCACCGAGAUUCAACAUGGAACGAGUGGCGGACGGGUGAGUAACACGUGGGUAACCUGCCCUUAAGUGGGGGAUAACAUUUGGAAACAGAUGCUAAUACCGCAUAGAUCCAAGAACCGCAUGGUUCUUGGCUGAAAGAUGGCGUAAGCUAUCGCUUUUGGAUGGACCCGCGGCGUAUUAGCUAGUUGGUGAGGUAAUGGCUCACCAAGGCGAUGAUACGUAGCCGAACUGAGAGGUUGAUCGGCCACAUUGGGACUGAGACACGGCCCAAACUCCUACGGGAGGCAGCAGUAGGGAAUCUUCCACAAUGGACGCAAGUCUGAUGGAGCAACGCCGCGUGAGUGAAGAAGGCUUUCGGGUCGUAAAACUCUGUUGUUGGAGAAGAAUGGUCGGCAGAGUAACUGUUGUCGGCGUGACGGUAUCCAACCAGAAAGCCACGGCUAACUACGUGCCAGCAGCCGCGGUAAUACGUAGGUGGCAAGCGUUAUCCGGAUUUAUUGGGCGUAAAGCGAGCGCAGGCGGUUUUUUAAGUCUGAUGUGAAAGCCCUC